Molecule: ribosomal RNA, 442 nt
Filed under: uncultured bacterium
Lineage: Bacteria
Description: partial 16S ribosomal RNA
Rfam family: Bacterial small subunit ribosomal RNA
Source: RNAcentral
CCUACGGGUGGCAGCAGUGGGGAAUUUUGGGCAAUGGGCGCAAGCCUGACCCAGCAACGCCGCGUGAAGGAAGAAGGCUUUCGGGUUGUAAACUUCUUUUAUCAGGGAAGAGUAGGAGACGGUACCUUACCAGUAGGCUACGGCUAACUACGUUCCAGGCGCCGCGGUGAUGCGAAGGUGGCUAGCGUUGUCCGGAUAUACUGGGUGUAAAGGGCGUGUAGCCGGGUUGACAAGUCAGAUGUUAAAUACUGCGGCUUAACCCCAGUACGGCAAAUGAAACUGUUGAUCUUGAGUACUGGAGAGGCAGAUGGAACUCCGAGUGUAGCGGUGAAAUGCGUAGAUAUUAGGAGGAACACCAGUGGCGAAGGCGGUCUGCUGGAUAGCAACUGACGGUGAGGCGCGAAAGCGUGGGGAGCAAACAGGAUUAGAUACCCGUGUAGUC